Molecule: transfer RNA, 76 nt
Filed under: marine sediment metagenome
Description: tRNA-Leu
Rfam family: tRNA
About the family: Transfer RNA (tRNA) molecules are approximately 80 nucleotides in length.
Source: RNAcentral
GCGCUUGUGGGCAAAUGGCAAAGUCGCUCGGCUUAGAUCCGAGAGUUUGGAGGUUCGAUUCCUCUCAGGCGCACCA